GCCCUUGUAGUUCAACGGAUAGAACAUCAGUUUUCUAAACUGAAUAUGGAGGUCCGACUCCUCCCAGGGGCA
RNAcentral lists this transfer RNA (72 nucleotides) under bacterium. Its description in RNAcentral is "tRNA-Arg". It matches the Rfam family "tRNA". Rfam says of the family: Transfer RNA (tRNA) molecules are approximately 80 nucleotides in length. Their secondary structure includes four short double-helical elements and three loops (D, anti-codon, and T loops). Further hydrogen bonds mediate the characteristic L-shaped molecular structure. tRNAs have two regions of fundamental functional importance: the anti-codon, which is responsible for specific mRNA codon recognition, and the 3' end, to which the tRNAs corresponding amino acid is attached (by aminoacyl-tRNA synthetases). tRNAs cope with the degeneracy of the genetic code in two manners: having more than one tRNA (with a specific anti-codon) for a particular amino acid; and 'wobble' base-pairing, i.e. permitting non-standard base-pairing at the 3rd anti-codon position. The record is from RNAcentral.